This 427-nucleotide ribosomal RNA is filed under the name uncultured bacterium. Its description in RNAcentral is "partial 16S ribosomal RNA". It matches the Rfam family "Bacterial small subunit ribosomal RNA", at positions 355 to 774 of the family's 1533-position model. The record is from RNAcentral.
CGGGGAAUAUUGGACAAUGGGCGAAAGCCUGAUCCAGCCAUGCCGCGUGUGUGAAGAAGGUCUUCGGAUUGUAAAGCACUUUAAGUUGGGAGGAAGGGCAUUAACCUAAUACGUUAGUGUUUUGACGUUAUCGACAGAAUAAGCACCGGCUAACUCUGUGCCAGCAGCCGCGGUAAUACAGAGGGUGCAAGCGUUAAUCGGAAUUACUGGGCGUAAAGCGCGCGUAGGUGGUUUGUUAAGUUGGAUGUGAAAUCCCCGGGCUCAACCUGGGAACUGCAUUCAAAACUGACUGACUAGAGUAUGGUAGAGGGUGGUGGAAUUUCCUGUGUAGCGGUGAAAUGCGUAGAUAUAGGAAGGAACACCAGUGGCGAAGGCGACCACCUGGACUAAUACUGACACUGAGGUGCGAAAGCGUGGGGAGCAAACA